Long non-coding RNA from Macaca fascicularis (crab-eating macaque), 1653 nucleotides. NCBI's taxonomy places the organism in Eukaryota, Metazoa, Chordata, Mammalia, Primates, Cercopithecidae. The record is from Ensembl.
UUUUUUUUUUUUUGUUAACCAUCCUGCUAUAUCUCUGCUAAAAGGCAUGUGUGAGCCAAAAGUUUAAAGAAAUGGCAAUUUUAUAUCUUGGUAUUUUAAUUAUUGACAAAUAACAUUGUUUUCUAUCAUGUAUUUAUUUAACAAGUAUUUAUUGAAAUCUGAAAUAUACUGUCAGGAUCAAGAGCUUGGCCUUCUGAUAGUUCAUUGAAAAGUCAACUCACAAUAAGGCAGAGAAUCAGGGAAAGCUCAUACAAAUUUAUUUAAUGUUAUAAAUAAAAGCCUCCAGAAUGAAGACCCAAAGAAAUAAAGGGGAAAUUGCCCAUUUUUAUGCUUAGGUUCAACAAAGUAUGGACAGCUGUGUAGAACUAUGAUUGGACCAAAAGGAUAAGAUCUCCUGCUAAUGGACUGAGUGGGAAACCCAGCAACGUCUGCCUGGAUUCUUCUUGGCCUCUGUGAGCAUUCAGUACUUUCUUCUGGCUAUGGGGCUGGCCCCACUCUGAAAUGGGGGUCUUAUGACUAAAACCACCUAUGCAAAAUUAUAACUGAGGAAAUUAUGACAGUUGUUAGAAAUACCAAAAUUGUUAGAAAUAGUCGGUGCAGCAAAGAAAAGUCAGCACAGAGACAAAAGAUCUCCCAGCAAGGCAAUCUUUACUUUUUGCAGAAAGCGUGCCCAAUCGCAGAUGGAACAAUGGUGAGAGUACACCUGAACAAAGGAAAAGCAGAUGUAUUUAUCCCUUAUGCAUUUGGGUUGUCCUUACUGCUGUGUCCAGCAUCCAUUGACUGGAGCUGAACCUCACGAUCUUAAACUGAUACCCAAUUUGCUAAUAGCCUAAAACUUUCCUAAAUAGGCAAGUGCAAAGAAGAACAAAGAAGUUGCUUACAAAAGGUUUAAGGAAGCGAUAACAUUUCCAAAUAAGGAAGGGGCAUAGACUGUGAAGUGGAAUGUGCUUGUGAGCAUGUCCAACAGUUACAUAGGAUAGGGCUUAACAAAGAGUUAUUAGCACAAAGCAAGGAGGCUUGAAGAAAGUUAGUCUUUAAAAGAAACUACCAUUUCUAACACUUACGAUUUAUUAUUUAACAAGAAGGGGUACUUUGAAGAGGAAACUUUUUACUUUCUACAACAGUGAAAGAAAUCAGACCUAACCAAUUCCAUCUUGCUUCUAACCUUGAAGCUGUGCUUGUUCCCUCCUGGGGAUAGGCCGAACUGACUUUGGGAAGGAAUUCAGUUCAUGGUUUGACUUACGGGUCAUGCAGCCACUUGCUCCAAGUGUCUGAACCUCCCCAAAUUGCUCCUGGGGAUAACAUCACUAUUGUUAAACCUAAGAUCAAUGCUGGAGAUAUUUUGCAGACCCUGCACUGGAUGGAUCAACUGACACCACCCAGACCUGGCUCAACCAGUUCUGCCACCCCACCCAGGAACAGAAAACAGCAAGAAAAACUCACUUGGACCCUCUAUGAUUCCAUCUCCAACCUGACCAGUCAGCACUCCACACUUUGCAACCCCCUGCCGACCAAAUUAUCUUUAAAAACUCUGAUCCCUGAAUGCUCAGGGAGACUUAUUUGAAUAAUCAUAAAACUCUGAUCUCCUGCCUAGCUGGCUCUGUGUGAAUUACUCUUUCUCCAUUGUAAUUCCAAUCUUGAUAAAUCGGCUCU